This 554-nucleotide ribosomal RNA is filed under the name Colletotrichum sp. IP-53. RNAcentral's name for it is "eukaryotic LSU rRNA". The stretch from base 182 to 335 matches the Rfam family "5.8S ribosomal RNA". The record is from RNAcentral. Lineage: Eukaryota; Fungi; Ascomycota; Sordariomycetes; Glomerellales; Glomerellaceae.
GGAACAAGCGGUAGGGACAUUAUCGAGUUACCACUCUAUAACCCUUUGUGAACAUACCUACAUGUUGCUUCGGCGGUCGGCCCCCCGGGCCCCCGGCCCCGCUCACGCGGGGCGUCCGCCGGAGGAUAACCAAACUCUGAUUUAACGACGUUUCUUCUGAGUGGCACAAGCAAAUAAUCAAAACUUUUAACAACGGAUCUCUUGGUUCUGGCAUCGAUGAAGAACGCAGCGAAAUGCGAUAAGUAAUGUGAAUUGCAGAAUUCAGUGAAUCAUCGAAUCUUUGAACGCACAUUGCGCCCGCCAGCAUUCUGGCGGGCAUGCCUGUUCGAGCGUCAUUUCAACCCUCAAGCACUGCUUGGUGUUGGGGCUCUACGGUUGACGUAGGCCCCCAAAACUAGUGGCGGACCCUCUCGGAGCCUCCUUUGCGUAGUAACUUUUGUCUCGCACUGGGAUUCGGAGGGAUUCUAGCCGUUAAACCCCCAAUUUUCUAAAGGUUGACCUCGGAUCAGGUAGGAAUACCCGCUGAACUUAAGCAUAUCAAUAAGCGGAGGAAA